AAACAUAUUUAAAAACUAGAAAUAAAAUAAAAUACGAGAAUAGACGCUAGGGUUUCACAACUUCACCACUUAGAAUCUCCUAGGGUUUUACUGCCUACCUCUCCCUCUCCCUCUCCACAGAUUUCGAUCAUAUACCAGAUAGAAAUGGAGAUCCCGUUCAGAUACACUGGUCGCUGGAGAUCCGAGAAUCCUGAGAAUUUGGGGAUAACAGUUUUUAUGAAGUCAAGAUGACCACCGAACGAUCCUUGGGGUUCAAUUCAUUAGUCUGCCGGACUGCCGGUGAGUCCAGGUGGUGGCGAAUAUUGCCGCUUGCUUUGUAGGAGACGUCUGUCUGUAGGGCCCGGCAUGCUUUUCACCAAAAAGGAAAGAGACCAUACGAAAGCAAUUUUUCUUAAACGGUGUUAUUUUCUACCAUUAAUUAUGAGAGAUUUAUUAUUUUAUUAAAAUUAUUAUUUAGUUAGUUAAAAAGUGCAAUGGUUACAUGUUUUCUAAAACUUAAUAUAAUAUCAAAUAUCCAAACUUGGUUUAUACACAAUAUUAGAAGUUGUGUAUCAUAGUAGUACUAUGAUACCAACUUAUUUAAUUAUUUACGACCUUUUGUAUUUUUGAUGUAUUGAAUAUUAAGUAUUGCAAUUUUAGUUUUUUUGUUUGGGCAUUC
Molecule: long non-coding RNA, 658 nt
Organism: Cynara cardunculus var. scolymus (artichoke)
Lineage: Eukaryota; Viridiplantae; Streptophyta; Magnoliopsida; Asterales; Asteraceae
Exons: 3
Source: RefSeq, a predicted model, not a curated record